GAUGAACGCUGGCGGCGUGCCUAAUACAUGCAAGUCGAGCGAACAGACGAUGAGCUUGUUCCUUUCACGUUAGCGGCGGACGGGUGAGUAACACGUGGAUAACCUACCUAUAAGACUGGGAUAACCUCGGGAAACCGGAGCUAAUACCGGAUAAGAUAUUGAACCGCAUGGUUCAAUAGUGAAAUACGGCUGUGCUGUCUGGUAUCGAUGGAUCCGGGCCGCUUUAGCUAGUUGUGAGGGUAACGGCUUACCAAGGCAAGGAGGCGUAGCCGACCGGAGGGGGUGAUCGGCGGCCCGGGAAGGGGAACGCGGUCCAGACUACUACGGGAGGCAGCAGUAGGGAAUCUUACGCAAUGGGCGAGAGCCUGACGGAACAAGGGCGCGUGAGUGAUGAAGGUCUUCGGAUCGUAAAACUCUGUUAUUAGGGAAGAACAGAUGUGUAAGUAACUGUACACGUCUUGACGGUACCUAAUAAGAAAGCAACGGCUAACUACGUG
RNAcentral lists this ribosomal RNA (497 nucleotides) under uncultured bacterium. RNAcentral's name for it is "partial 16S ribosomal RNA". It matches the Rfam family "Bacterial small subunit ribosomal RNA", at positions 28 to 507 of the family's 1533-position model. The record is from RNAcentral.